UUGUUGUUCAUCUUCACCGCCUCUCCGCCUUCUCCACCUCUGAAAAUACCCUUAUCAUUUCCAAAUGCUUAGCUCCAUCUCCUUCUACUGUGGGUGAUGAAUUAUCGUCAUCGUGGUAAUGGCGUGGCUUUCCUUCUCAGCUUGCAGAAGUAAGUGUUUUCCUAUCCCCUUUUUCUUUUUCUUCAUCUCAGCUGGUUUUGAAAUCUACUCAUGUCAUUUUACAGAAGUGUGUUCCGGUGGAAGUGUAAGAGCUUGAAAAAUCUCCAAAUCGAGUUUGAACCCUGCAUCCUAACUUUGUAGUUCACAGUAAACCUCUCAUUCUUGUUCUAUCUACCUUAUUCUCCUCUACUGAUUACUGAACUUUCAUUUUUAUAUAGAUGAAGUGGAAGUGGAGAAAACUUAGUUGCUCCCGACCUCCUUCUCUUGGAACUCUUAGUUAGGUGUAGUCACUUUAUGGAAGAUAUGAUUCCAUAGCCCUUCUUUUUUGCUAGUGUUGCUUUUUCUUUGCUAAUGUAGCUUCGGCUAAUUAGCUUUUUAGAUAGUCAUUAUUCCAUUGUGUAAGCCACAAACAUUAUUGUAAAUAUAAUGGUUGUGAGACACUGUGGUGUUUCCUUGUUUCAUCUGUUUAAAAUCUUAAUUGUUCUAACUUCGAUGUUCGGAAUGUUAAUUAAUCUUUUUUUUGUACUUGGUAAAUGAUUGUAAUUUCUUAAUUAAAGUACGCCUUAUUGUUCUAUUGUUGUAUUUGUGAGAUAAUUUGCUAACUUAUUGGCCUCCCUGAAUACAUGAAUUAUGUUAGUGUUAAUCCUUUGCAUCAGUUCUCUUAUUUCCUCCACUACAUUAAUCAACAUCCAAGGGACCUUUCAUUCCUUUCUAAUCAUUUUUGUAAGCCCGAGUGAGUCAAUUUGUAGUUGUACAUUAUCCAUCUCUUGAAUCAGAUAGUAUUUGAGUGCCUUUAGUAUAGCUAUUGACUCUGCUUCCAUAUUGGUAGAAAUUCCUAGGCUUUGUGCUUCUACAUAGAUUAAUUCUCCUUCACUGUUUCUAACACAAAAAUCAUAGGAGCUAAUGCUUGGAUUACCCUUGCUUGCACCAUCUGUGUUACAUGUCACCCAACCUAUUUUUGGCCUCCUUCAUUUCACUAUAAUGUAGUGAAGUAUAGGUGAAUAUAUUUGCAAUGUAUCCAUCAUAGCAGGCCAUCUCAAGGGACCAUUAUUUAUCUAUGAAAAAUGCACUUUAAAUAGAUGAAAUAUAUUCAUUGUGUAUUGUUGUUUCAUUUUAUUAAGUAUAAUAUCUUUCCCAUAUUUUCUAUAGUUUCUUCUUUUCUAUAGUUCCCACAUCAACAAUGCUAGAAUUGCCUUGGUAAUCAGCUUUAUUUUUGGAUUUUCUUGAUAAUUACACUACUUGAAAAUAAGCUGAUGUAAGUUGAGACCAUCCAUCUUAAUACCUGCAUAAGAAGCAAACUGCCUUCUUAACUUUUGAGCUAUGGGGGUUGUUAAUAAUAAAUAAUGCAUUGUUUUCAUUUCUCCUUCUUCACAGCAGUAACAUUUUGAGAUAAUCUGAAUUUUCAUCCUCUUCGAAUUGUCAUCAGAAUCUAUUCAUUUUCUCCUACCUCCAAAGGAAAAAAGCCAUCUUCAAAGGUAAAACUCUUAGCCAGAUAUUCUUUAUCUAUUCAAUCCUAUCUCUCAUGUGGCUCAUGAUCUAGUAAGUUAAUUUGAAUGCAAAAAUGCCUUUGCCUCCCCAUCCACUAAUGUCAUUUUUGCUAGAUCAAUUGUAGUCUUGAUGUUUUCCAAAAUGUUCAAAACUAUUUCUUCAGAUAAGUACUCUUUUAACUUAUCCACAUUCCACUCUACAUUAGUAAUUAACUCUUUUACCCCUAUUUCAUCUUCACUAAUAUUUUGGCCUUCAACAUGAUAUUGUGCCCCUUGUCUUAUCCAGUAAUCAAACCAAAAACUUGAAUUUCCAGCCUUAAUCUGCCACUAAAUCUCAUGCUCUAUCACCUCUCUUACCUCCAACAUCCUUUUACAUACAUGAGAUACACCAGUAUUUCUUGUAAUGGUUGGAUGAAGAUUUUUAUAGUAUUUAUUUCCUAUAUAAUUACUCCAUAAAGAUAAUGUUGAGAUCCUAAAACUCCACCACAGUUUGGCAAAUAAAGCCUUUGAUACUUCAUGUAAGGACCUGAAUCUUAUUCCUUUUUCUUCCUUAGAAUAACACAUAUCUUCCCAAGCUACUCAGUGCUUCCUCCUCAUAUGUCCCGUAUUACCUCAAAAGAAUUUGGUAAAAAUCUGAUGCAAAUACUUAAUGACAUUCUUUGGUGGAUUCAUAGAAGAAAGAAUAUAUAUAGGCAUCGACUGUAGAACAUGAUUAAUAAGAAUGUACUUUCCUCCAAAGUUCAAAAGCUUUUUUUUUUCAAGAUAAAAGCCUCUUAGUCAUCUUCCUUAACAAAUCUUCAUAAUAAGCUUUAUUCUUCCUGCCAUAAAAAAUUGGACAUCCCAUAUAAUGAAAGGACUUUUGAGCCUGAUUUUCACAAUCAAUGGAGUUUUAUCAUGCAGAUAGAAAAAACUGUUCCUUUUAUUAAUCAGUUGUACAAAGGUGUUUUCAUAAUCUCUCAAUACUCUUAUUAUUUUGGUGAUAGAAAUUCCAUCUCCUGACUAAAAUAGAAUAGUAUCAUCAACAUAUGAGAGAUGAUUUAUCUCUAGGUUCCACUUUAGUAAUCCAUAUUCCUUGAAUUCAUUAUCUCUAUGUAAUUCAGUUAGGCCUCUAGACAAUAUUUCUGCAGCAGUAAGGGAAAGUAUAGUAGAUAAAGAAUCUCCUUGUUUCACUUCUCUUGAGGAUUGAAAAAAAUCAUAUGAGUGUCCAUUAAUUAAUAUAGAGUACCAGUUAUUAGAUAUCAGCCUCUAGAGCAUGUCUAUAAUCAACUCUGAAAAAUCAAAUUUCCUUAGAACUUUUGUACGAAAAAUCCAUGAUACUCUGUCAUAUGAUUUUGCCAUAUUUAAUUUCACCACAAUAUUAGUAUUAUAUUUUCUCAAAUUGAUGUCUCUAAUGAUCUUUUGUGCUAAAAGCACAUUUUCUGUUAUGCUGCUUCUUUUUACGAAACCAGCCUAGAUUUUAGAAAUGAUAUAAGGGAGCAUCCUACCCAUUCUUUCAUGUAGCACUCUAAAGACAAUUUUGUUAGCAAAAGUACUUAGAUUUAUUGUAAUGCAACGAGUCUGUAACCCAGAUGCUACAUGGUGCUUAUGAUCCCCAGGGACCACAAGCUAACCUAUAACUGAUAUCUGUUGUAAGUACAGAAUAAUAAUAUUAUAAUAAUACAAAAAAUAGUCUGAAAUUCCAUAAGGUUCACAAUUUGAAUACUGAUAAAGAAUAACAACUGUAAUAACAUCUGGUAAAAUAUCUGAAAUGUGAAUACUGUCUGAACUAGUUUAGUUUGAAAAGCCUCUAGCUGAACUGUCUGAAAGUACAGUUGAUGGGACAAGCCCCCAACUAACUCCGACUACUGAAAUACUAAAAUAAAAAUAUAUCCUCGAUAGAUGAGGACUCACUAUUGAAUCUACUAAUGCUAUCUAAAUCUGUCUAUACGCGGUCAGGAACCCAAUCAUUCGAACCUAUGAUAUGAGACAUCAUAGCAUAAGAGAAAGCAUGCGUCAGUACUUGGAAUAUACUGGUAUGCUAGAUGAGGUAAAUCUGAAUGCAAGGAUUCAUAUGCAUGAACAAUAACUGACUGAAUGAUAUAUAGAAACUAAAUAAUAGGACAUGGAUAACUGAAACUGCUGUAAAUACUGAGUAUGCAGUACUGUGCAUAUACAUGUGUACUGUAUCUAAGCUUUAACUGAAGCCGAGUACUAAAUUCUUAUAACUAAGUAACUCAUAGCUGAGUGACUGUAUCUGACAGUCCUGAUUCUGUAGAACUGAAUUAAGUUCUAUACUAAGACUAAAACUGAAAAUGUGAGAGGUAAUCAUUUAACCAACAUGCCCCUUUCUGAAUAGAUUUGGGGUCAAACUUAUAACCCCAGCUGGAAGGGUGUCACUACUAUACCAUGGGUAAAUACAAGCUGAAGAGUCACCCUCGUCUAGAAGGUACCCUGAAUGAGAACAGUGGUACCCUCAACUGGCAAGUUAAAACGCCUCAUCAACCCUCAAUUGGUAGGUUGAUGUCUCAACCUACACUGGAUAUGUAGUUUAGGAAUGCAAAGACCAAUUCUAAGGAUCACACGCUCUACUGCCAUGAGAUCCCCGAUCCUCGGGUUUACUCGAUGCUGAAUCCUACUCUUAUAUGAAGGAUACUGAUUAUUAUACUAGACUAAAAUGGACUUUGUACUGAUUUUCAUUGAGUUCUAUAACUGACUGAGUACUACUAACCGUGACAUUUUUGAAAUUAUUCUGUAACAACUGUAGCUCUAGAUAAACAACUAGAUUUUUCUGGUAUUGAAUACCCCCAGGACUCGAUAGCAUGGAAAGUAAAGAAUAGCAUGAUCUUGAAAAGAAUAACAAUGUUUACUUGUUCAUAACUCAUUCAUAGAGAUAUUUUAUCAAACACUUGUAGGACAUAAGCUCGUACAUAUGCUAGCAUGUCAUAAUUUCACCAUUUAAUUCACAUGGACAUUCUAUCAAACACUUGAGGAGCACAACCUAAUGCAUAUAAUCAUGGACAAUGUAUAACAUUGCAAUUACCACACCCAAACUUGCAAAUACAAGGGUUCUAACAUGGAAAUUACCAAAUUUAGUAUACAUGCUAUUUCAACUUCAUAGAACUUACAAUUAAUCAUGGAUUGAAACUCAGUUAAUGUCAUGAACAUAAAUACAAUCCAAUUUAAGCAUGUAAAUCAUGAAUCAUUAAGCUUGUAGUUUAAAAAGGGAUUCUUGGACUCUAUGGGUGAAAGGAACCCAUAGUUGAACACCUAACAUACCUGAGAAAAUUAAUUCUUGAAGGUUCUUGGAGGGAUUCUUGAGAAUUGUUCUUGUUUUCUUGAAAACUAAGGUUUACUAAUUGAAAGAGAAUGUUUUUAAGCUCACUGGAAGCUGGAAAACAGGAAAAUGGAAGCUUGGCGCGAUACGGUACAAUCAUAGUACCCCAUUGUAUGCGAAUUUAACCCUUGGCACAACGUGGCAUGAUCACGAAGUCACACUGGAAAGUCACACUUGGGAAAAUGGCAAGUGGCACGAUGCAGUGGGAUCACGAUGGCUCACUGGAUUUCGACAAUUGCCAUUUGUACCCUCUCUGUGACGUGGUGAAGUAUCAGGUGUUACACUAUUUUACUAAAAAUGCUAUAACUCUUCGUCCCGGUAUCGAAUUCGGGCGAAUUUUAUAUUGUUGUAAAGAUGUCUGAAUUUUUUUAUGCAAUGAUAUGUCUUGAACUGAAGAAUUCUAAGUUUUUUAAAAUUUUAUAUAGAAAUACUCAUGUACUGAGAGUUAAACUAAGUUAGAUAUAUACGGUGUAUUAUAAUAUCUCCCCCUUGGGAAAAUCCAUCCUCGAAUGAGACUGAUAAGCUGAAAAACACUAAUAGACUGAGUUUACACACUAAACAUGCACAGCUGAAACAUGGUUGUAUGACUAAAAUCACUGAUAAGCUGAGGUUUUAUACUUAUUAUGCAUAUCUGAUACAUGAGUACAUGGCUGAACAGAUUCAUGAAUACAUGACUGUCAUGAAGAUGUUAUGCAAAGGUAAUGAUUACCAAGUCUAUAACCGUAACUGAACAUAGAACUGAGUAAAUAUAAGGAAGACUGUUACAUCAAGUUUAAUCUAAGUUUGCGGAGAAGAGGUGAGGAUACUUGGUUCGCAUAUCUGCUUCUGUUUCCCAAGUAGCUCCCUCAAAGGAUUUAUUCUACCAAAGAACUUUGACCAAGGGAACUUCGUUGUUCCUCAGUCUGUGAAUCUAAUGAUCAAGGAUUUGGAUUGGGACCUCUUCGAAAGAGAGAUAAUUUUAAAUGUCUAUGCCCGCUAAGGGAACUAUGAUUGUUGGGUCACCAAUGCAUUUCUUUAGCAUGGAGAUGUGGAAUACUAGGUGCACUGAGGCUAGAUCUGAAAGCAACUCAAGCUCGUAAGAUACCUUUUCGAAAUGACUGAGAAUUCUAUAAGGACUGACAUAUCAAGGACUAGGCUUUCCCUUUUUUCCGAACCUCUUUACCUCCUUCAUGGGCGAGAAUUUCAAGUACACAAAAUUACCAACCUCAAACUUGAGAUCUUUACUCCUUAUAUUUGCAUACGAUUUCUGCUGGCUCUGGGUUGCCCUAUGCCUUUCUCUGAUCAACUAAACCUUCUUUAAGGCAUAGAAGAUGAGAUCGGGCCCUACUACUAUAACCUCACCUACCUUGAACCAACCAAUUAGUGAUCUACAUCUCUUAUCAUAAAGAGACUCAAACGGAACCAUAUGAAUACUAGAAUGAUAAUUGUUAUUCUAUGUGAAUUCAAUCAAAGGUAAGUGGUCAUCCCAACUACCUCUAAAAUCAAUCAAGCAUGCUCUUAACAUACCUUCUAGAGUCUGAAUGAUCCUUUCUUCUUGACUAUUUAUCUGAGGGUGAAAGGUUGUACUGAGGUGAACUUGGGUACCAAGACCCUUUUGGAAUGCUUUCCAAAAGUGAGAGGUAAAUUGGGUACCUCUAUCUAAGAUGAUGGAUACUGGGACUCUGUGUAAUCUGACCAACUCUUUGACAUAGAGUUUGGCAUAGUCCUCGACUAAAUAUGAGGUAUGGAAUAGAAAGAAAUGAACUGAUUUGGUCAUCCUGUCUACAAUGACCCAAAUUGAAUCAUAAUGAUGAUGAGUACGAGGCAAACCCAUCACAAAGUCCAUGUUCACUUCUUCCCAUUUCUAUGUAGGAAUAUUGAACUCCUGCAUAGACCCACUAGGCUUCUGGUGUUCAACCUUAACCUACUGACAUGUAGAGAACUUAGAUACAGACUCUGCAAUAUCCCUUUUUAUUCUACUUUACCAAUAUAUCUCCCACAAAUCACGGUAUAUCUUAGUAGCCCCUGGAUGAAUUGAGUUCCAUGGACCAUGCACUUCUGCAAGAAUUUGCUGCCUCAAGUCAUCUAUGCCUGGCACAUAUAACCGACCCUGGCAACGCAGCACACCAUCUUUCCCUUAGGAGAAAACCUAUACUUUUUGAUCUCUGACUAACUUUUUCAACUUAACUAGACUGGGAUCUCUGUCUUGCUUUUCCUUUACUUUGAAAACCAAAGAUGAUUCAGAAUUAUUCUGCACCCAUACACUACCCUCUACUGAAUCAACUAAGAGAACACCUAGUCGUAAAAGCUGAUGAACUUCAUGAACUAACUUCUUCUAACCAUUCUCAACAUGAGCCACACUAUCCAUAGAAUACUUAAUGAGAGCAUCUGCCUUUACAUUGACCUUGCUCGGAUGAUACAAAAUACUCAUAUCAUAAUCUUUUAACAACUCUAACCAUCUUCUCUGGCAUAAAUUCAAAUAUUUCUGAGAGAACAUAUACUGCAAGCUUUUGUGAUCUGUGAACUAAUCGACAUGCACCCUAUACAAAUAAUUCCUCCAGAUCUUUAAGGCAAAUACUACAGUUGUUAGCUCAAGAUCAUGGAUAGGGUAAUUCUUCUCAUGAGACUUAAUCUGUCUAGAGGCAUAGGCUACGACCUUACCUCUCUGCAUGAGGACACAACCAAACCUACUCUAGACUUAUCACAAAUACAACAACCCAUAUGAACCAUCUGGUAACGUUAGAACCGAGCUGAGGUAAGUCGAGUCUUCAACUUCUAAAAAUUUUUCUCGCAAGAAUCUGACCACUAAAACUUAAAUUUCUUCUGAAUCAAUCUAGACAUGGGGGAUUCUAUAGAUGAAAACCAUCUAAAAAUUUGACGAUAAUAGCCAUAUAAACCUAAGAAACUCCUGAUAUCUAAUGGGGAAAUGGGUCUAGCCUAGUUUCUCACUGCUUCAGUCUCUUAAGGAUCAAAUCUAAUACCAUCAUCGGAAAUAAUCUGACCAAGUAAUGGUACUGACCUUAGCCAAAAUUCACACUUACUAAAUUUGGCCAAUAAUUGAUGGGCUCUAAGAGUCUGAAGUACAAUUAUGAGGUGAUUUUCAUGAUCAUUCUCCCUAUGGGAAUAGACAAGAAUGUCAUCGAUGAAGACUAUAAUGAAUAUGUCCAAGUAAUGCUUGAUCAUGCAAUUUAUUAAGUCCAUGAAGGCUGUUGGGGCAUUAGUGAGACCAAAGGAUAUGACUAGAAACUCGAAGUGACCAUACCAGGUUCGGAAAGCUAUUUUUGAAAUGUCACAUUCUCUGACUCUGAGCUGAUUAUAGCCUGAUCUGAGGUCUAUCUUAGAAAACUAACUAGCGUUCUGAAGUUGUCCAAAUAAGUCAUUAAUUCUAGAAAGUUGGUAUUUAUUCUUGACUGUGACUUUAUUCAACUGACUGUAGUCUAUACAAAUCCUGCAAGAAUCAUCUUUCUUACAUACAAAUAAGACUUGUGCGCCCCAUAGGGAAAUGCUAGGUCUGAUGAACCCCUUGUCUAAAAGGUUCUUUAAUUGCUCUUUUAACUCUCUAAGUUUAUUUGGUGCUAUUCUGUAUGGAAGAGUAGAUAUAGGCUGAGUAUCUAGAAGAAGGUCUAUUCCAAAGUCAAUUUUCCUUUUGGGAGAAACUCUAGGAAGAUCUUUGGGAAAUAUAUCUGAGAAUUCAUUCACUACUGGAACUGACUCAAAACUAGAAGUCUCUAAACUAGAGUCUUUGACUCAUAUGAUAUGAUAGACACAUCCCUUGGAUAUCAUUCUUCUCUCUCUAAGGUAUGAAAUCAACUGACCCUUGAGCAUUGUAGCACUACCCCUCCAUUCUAGGAUUGGUUCAUUUUGAAACUAAAAAUAAACAAUUCUAUUUCUACAAUCAACUGAGGCAUAGCAUGAAUGGAGCCAAUUUAUACUAAGAAUAACGUUGAAAUAUGUUAUCUCUAACUCUACUAAGUCUGCUAAAGUGAAUUUCUAAGAUAUCAUAACUGGACAGUUCAUGUAUACCCACCGGGCUAUGAUAGAAUGACCCAGUAAGGUACAGACUAAGAAGGGUUUUGUUAAGACUUUUGGUUUGACCUUAAAGUUGGAUUUUAUGUAAGGAGUUACAAAAGAUAGAGAAGCUCUUAGAUUUAACAAGGCAUAAAUAUGUAAAUAGAAGAUAUUUAACGUACCAGUGACCACAUUAGCAAAACUUUUUUGAUCUUGUCGAGACUGAAGUGCAAAGAUCCUAUUUAGUUGUUGCCCACUGGUGGAACUCAAAGUGGCACCUUGUUGAUUCGGGCGAUCGUACUGAGCUGAAGGAAGAUUGUACUAACCCUGAGAACCUGAAUAAGGACAAUCUCUGAUUCUGUCUCCUGGAUUGCCACACCCGAAACAAACACCACUGCUAGCUCUGCAGAAACCCUGAUGGUUUCCACCAUAUUUCUAACAAAGAGGAUUUGUUCGAGCAUUGCUGACACUACCCUGAGAUUUAAAGCCUGGCACCCUAUAUUUUUUACCAUUUCUGAACUUAGGGAUUGGAGCACUGGCUAAGGACAGAGCUGGAACUAAAUAUUUUAGUUGAUACUGGGAAUGGUUACCAUACUCUGAUUUAGGCUGAGUGAAAUUAAAGCUACUGGUUCUGUCUCUCUUGCCUUCCCUCUCUCUCUCUCCUUAUUCUUAGCCUCUUUUAUAUUGUGAGCAUGGACCAUGAGUCUAGAUAUGUCCAUCUCCUUAAUUAACAUCACAGUUCUGCACUCCUAAACCACACUCUCUAAUACCUCAUAUACGAACUUGUUCAUUCUGGACCUAACCUAUUAUCUGCUACUACAUGGGGAGCAGACCUAGCUAAUGGAGUAAACUUAAGGGAAUACUCUUUCACAGCCAUGUUUCCUUGCUGGAGAUUGAUAAAAUCUAACACCUUGGCUUCUCUCAGCUCUAAGGAAAAGAAUCUAUCUAGAAAGGCAGUAGCAAACUCUUCCCAUUCUAUGGGCUCUGCAUCUGUUCCCCUGUCUACCUUCCACUAUUUAAACCAUGUAUGAGCUGCAUCCAUUAGCUGAUAUGCAUCUAAAUCAGCACUCACACUAGAUGUCACUCCCAUAAUAUUUAUGACUAUCUGAACCUGGUCAAGGAACUCCUGUAGAUCCUCUUUGGGCUUAGAUCCUGAGAAUAGGGAAGGAAUCAUUCGGGUAAAGUCUUGAAUCCUAGCUACAGCAGUAUUGGACACUGGGUUGGCUUGAACCACAGUUGGUUUUUCAUUCUGAGUUGCUAUGGAAUUGGCUAAAGUGGUGAACGCAGCUCUAAAUUUUGCAUAGGAGACAUGCUCGUCUAGGGGAUCUGCCUGAAUGGGUUGAGGUGCUGACUUAUUUCCUGUUCUUCUUCCAUUAUUCUUUUUAGGAGGCAUGUUCUGUAAAUAGAAGUAAGAAAAGGAUCAAACUGAGAGUUUAACUUAAGCUUAUGCUUACUCAUACGACAUGUAUACGGAAAGAAGGGAAACUUUUCCUAAACACUUCUUGUAGCCUCUUGCCUAUAAGUGUGGCGUGCUAUACACCCAUGACAAGACUCUCCUGAUAUGGCUUUUAGACUCCCUAGGACUCAUUUGAACCUUAGGCUCUGAUACUAAGUUUGUAACGCCCCGAGUCUGCACCCUGGAUGCUACACGGUGCUUAUGAUCCCAAGGGACCGUAAGCUAACCCAUGACGGAUACCUGUUGUGAGCACUGAAUAAUAAUAGUGUAAUAAUGCAGAAAAUAGGCUAAAAUACCAUAAGGUUCACAAUUUGAAUACUGAUAAAGAAUAACAACUAUAAUAACAUCUAGUAAAAUAUUUGAAAUGUGAAAUACUGUCUAAACUAGUCUAGUCUGAAAAGCCUCUAGCUGAAUUGUCUGAAAGUAGAGUUGAUGGGACAAGCCCCCAACUAACUCCGACUACUAAAAUACUAAAAUAAAAACAUAUCCUCGAUAGAUGAGGACUUACUAUUGAAUCUACUACUACUAUCUGAAUCUGUCUAUGAGCGGUCAAGAACCCAAGCAUCCGAACCUAUGAUAUGAGACAUCAUAGCAUAAGAGAAAGUAUGCGUCAGUACGUGGACUGUACUGGUAUGCUAGAUGAGGUAAGGCUGAAUGCAAGGGUUCAUAUGCAUGAACAAUAACUGACUGAAUAAUAUAUAGAAACUAAAUAAUAGUACAUGGAUAAUUGAAAUUAUUGUAAAUACUGAGUAUGCAAUACUGUGCAUAUAUAUGUGUAUUGUAUCUAAGCUUUAACUGAAGCCGAGUACUGAAUUCUUAUAACUAAGUAACUUAUAAUUGAGUGACUGUAUCUGACAGUCCUGAUUCUGUAGAACUGAAUUAAGUUCUAUACUAAGACUAAAACUAAAACUGUGAGAGGUAAUCAUCUAACCGAUAUGCCCCUUUCUAAAUAUAUUUGGGGUCUAACCUGUAACUCCAGUUGGAAGGGUUCAUUACCGUGCCACGGGUAAAGACAAGCUGAAAAGUCACCCUCAUCUAACAAGUGCCCUAAAUAAAAAUAGUGGUACCCUUAACUGGUAGGUUAAAACACCUCAUUAACCCUCAACUAGAAGGUUGAUGUCUCAACCUAUGUUGGAUACGUAGUUUUAGAAUACAAGGACUGCUUCUAAGGAUCACACCUCUACUGGCAGGUGAGCCUCCGUCCUCUGAUUCACUCGGUGCUGAAUCCUACUCCCAUCUAAAGGACACUGAUUAUUAUAUUGGACUGAACUAGACUUUGUACUGAGUUUUACUGAGUUCUGUAACUGACUGAGUACUACUGACCAUGACAUUUUUGAAACUAUUCUGUAACUACUAUAGCUCUAGGUAAACAGUUAGAUUUUUUUAGGUAUUGAAUAUCCCCAGGACUCGAUAGCAUGGAAAGUAAAACAUAGCAUGAUCUUGAAAAGCAUAACAAUGUUUACUUGUUCAUAACUCAUUCAUAGAGACAUUUUAUCAAACACUUGUAGGACAUAAGCUCAUACAUAUGCUAGCAUGUCAUGUUUUCACCAUUUAAUUCACAUGGACAUUCUAUCAAACACUUGAGGAGCAGAACUUAAUGCAUAUAAUCAUGGACAACAUAUAACAUUGUAAUUACCAUGCCCAAACUUACAAAUUCAAGGGUUAUAACAUAGAAAUUAACCAAUUUAAUAUACAUGCUAUUUCAAUUUCAUAGAACUUACAAUUAAUCAUGGAUUGAAACUCAAUUAAUGUCAUAAACAUAAAUACAAUCCAAUUUAACCAUGUAAAUCAUGAAUUAUUAAGCUUGUAGUUUAAAAUGGGAUUCUCGGACUCUAGGGGUGAAAGGAACCCAUAGAUAAACCCCUAACAUACCUGAGAAAAUUAAUUCUUAAAGGUUCUUAGAGGGAUUCUUGAGAAUUGUUCUUGUUUUCUUGAAAACUAGGGUUUCCUAAUUGAGAGAGAAUGUUUUUAAUCUUGAGAAAAGUGAGUAAAUAAUGAUCUAAUAGGUUAUUUAGGGACUUCAUUUCGUGUUUAGGCUGAUUAGGGGUUUUGAGAUUUGACCAAACAGCCCCUGAAAUAAAAUCUUGGAAACUAAAAAUCCCAACUAGCGCAACAUAGUGAAAUCACUCCAACUCACUAGAAACUACACAACUGGGAACUGGAAGCUUGGCGCGAUGCGAUACCAUUCUAUCAUGACCCAAGGCCCUGGCCGCAUGGGGCAUCCCAAACCACACAGGCCCGAGAUACCCCUGUAUCUCCCCAACCCACUAGUGAUAUUGUCCGCUCUGGUCCCAGGCCUGCACAGCUUUAAAAUGUAUCACUAGGAAGUAAGUCUUUCUCACUUAUAUACCCAGCAUCCUUCUUGUGUUUUGCCGAUGUGGGACUCUUUUCUAAGUUAGGGUGUCACAUACACCCCCUUAUUGACUCAGCGUCCUCGCUGAAAUUUGCCCCACCAAAUAGGAUUUACAUACACUCAGUUUGAACUCUAGCCCACAUCGAUUGAGACGACAUAAGAGUGGCUCUAAUACCAUGUUGUAAAUUCCCAAAUUUGGGUCCCGAGAUAUCACACGGUGCUUCGGGUCACAAGUGACCCCAAGUUAACCCUUCUACUGGCAUAACUCAUAAGCAACUAAAUAAAAAGUAUAAAUCUAUACAAAUUUGUGGAAAAAUAACUCUUUUCUGAAUCCGAUUGAUACAAAACUGAAUUUUACAAGAUUACAAUUCUGCCUUUACAACCAAAACUGAAACUGAAUACAUCAACUUCUACUGACUGUCUAUGAAGCUUCUACUAGUACUGACUGUAGGUAGCCUGGUCAUGACUCCCGACUAUCCCAACUCAAUACGACUGAAUAAAGAAAAUACAACACUAUUAGUUCUGCAUAACUGACCCAAGCCCUUGAAUCAAAAGGACUCAUCACUUACUGACUAGAUACCACAAACUGACUGGAUCUUAAGAUGCAUACUAUACCUUAUACCUAUAUUCCAAGAAAACAUAGCCCACAUACAAAUAUGUGGGUCAGUACCAUGGAAAUGUAUCGAGCAUAUGGGGUUGCAAUGCAUACAUAAAAUAAUAUCUUAAUAUCAUCUCAGUUUAUAAAAUUAUGCAUGCUGAUAUAAAUGACUCACUUAGCUCAAAUUAAAUCAUCGAAAUCAUGGAUGAAAAAUACAUGCAAAGUAAAACAAGUGAGUCAUUACAAUAAGUUCUCAAUUCACUUCUUCUUUGAUUUCAAACAUGUAGAGCAAUCAAGUUUCAAAACAAUUCUCUUUAGAACAUAAUAUCUCAAUCUUUCAGAAAUAAUAACUUUCUCAGAACCAAUCUUUCAAAACAUAUACAUUCAUCUUAGAUAGGAGGGUACACACACGGACACGUUGGGAGUCUCUCAUAACCGACAUACACCAUGUAAGCUACAUGGAGUCCAACUUUCUACCCACGUUGAGGAAAGUUACCUUAUUCCUUGCCAUCAGAGUAGGACCUUAAAUUAUCAAUCCAAACAUUAGUGAUCACUAUGAAAAUCAGCCUCAAUUCUGGCUCCUACGGGGGAACGUAGUUCUAGGGAAGUACCAAACCCACUAUACCUCCCGCUCGGUGCUAAAGACUACUCCCAGACUUGGCUCAAAUCUUUUCAAAAGAAAAUCCACCAUAAAACAGUUCAACAAUUCACAAUAGGAGCCAUCAUGCUACCUCUUUCAUAAUGAAUCAAUAAAAGUGGAUUUCUUUUCUCAUCUCGGGUUCAAAAUCAACCCCAUUUUACGAUCGAAAGGUCAAAGCUUCUUUAUCUUUUCAAAUCAUUCAAAUUCAAGGUGUUUAUAACAUAUGUUUUCUCAAAAACAACAAUCCUAAAUAGAGUUCAAAACCCAUGUCUCAAUAUUACAUUAAAACUUAUCAAGAUUCAAGCUUUACAUCAUAAACACAUAUAAAUUUCUUCAAAAUUUGGAAAUUUCAGCUUUAAUCACAAAAUAUCAUUGUUCUCAUAUAAUUCCACUUUAAAAUAUCAAAAAUAUCAUAAUCUCAUGAGAAUCAAUAUAGGAUGUAAAUUCAUGCUUCAAAUUCAUAAUAAAACAUAUAAAAUUCAUAACUUCUUAAAAGAAAAAUAUUUUUGGGCACAAGAAUGAAAGGGUUUCCUUGUUGAAAACCCCACAUACCUUGAAAUUGAAGCUUUGGGUGAACUCUAAACCUUGGAACUCUAUUCGUUAAAAUAAUAGGUGCUUCUUGUAGCCCCCGGAAUGGGGAUUCCGAACCUCGAAGAAUUAUUGAAAACUCAUGGUUGACUCUUGAGAUAUUUGAAUUUUUAGGUUGAAACCCUAAUGAAUUUUCUUUGUGAUUUUGAGAGAAAGUAAACUUAUUUUGGUGUUAUGGGCGUUUAAUCCCGUGCUAUAGACAUAUAUAGGGGUGUUUUUGGCACUUGGAAGUGAGGUAUACGGCGCACAACCCAUGGAAGACCUUAAGGUGUGCGUCGCACACCUUAUGGAAGACAUAUAAAUGUGCCUCGCACUCCCAAUCCACACAUUUUAUUGGGUGGCGCAUUGCCCAUCGCACACCCUUACUGCCUCUCACAAAAAUGGGCAUAACUUUUCGCUCGGGAAUUGGAUUUUCACAAAAUUGGUAUCGUUGGAAAGCUAAUUCAAUUAUCUACAAUUUGAUAGGUCUUUGGAUGAAAAAUUUCAUGUAUAUUAAGAGAUAUACACGUUUGAAGUAGCCCCUUGUAGAAUCGAAUGCCAAACUUUAGAUAACUUAAUUGGUCUUAGCUUAACUUUGUUCUAGAUCAUUGCCAUGAACAUUUUUCACCUCUAAACUACUCCAUAGGCUAGGAUAAUGAUCAUGAAACUUGUAUUCACAAUCGACUCAUUUGGAUUAAAGCUUAGAUAUGUAGGAACGACGGUUAGAAUUUUAGCACGAAAAUACGGGGUAUUACAUUAUCUCCCCCUUGGAAACAUUCGUCCUUGAAUGUAGAUAAUUAACCUGAAACAUAGAGGAAUCUUUGUCUUUAAGCUGACAUGUGCAACUGAUAGAACUGAAUCACUAGAUCUCAAGAAUAAUGAACUUCUGAACUGGUUUGCAAGUGCAUGAAUCCUCAAGAAAAUAACUAUAUGGCUAAGAUAGAAACGAGAGUGUCAACUCAUGAGAAAGGAUGAGAGGUUUAUGACAUGAAAAUAUGGGCUAUUACAGCAUCCCCCUCUUGGGAUCGCUCAUCCCCAAAUGAUAAUAAUUUGGUGAGAAUACUAGGAAGAGAUUGUGAUACUACACAGGAUACUUACGAACUGAAUCAUGACUUAAUAUCUAAAUGAUAAUAAUUUGGUGAAAAUACUAGUAACACAUUGCCUCUUGGAAUGGACAUACGCAUGAGACUGCGGAUAGUAUGACUAGGUGGAAAAAUUAAGAAUCUAUAGGAGCUUAUCUACUUGCUUGCUAGACUGGAUUGCAGGCUAUAAGGACUGAAUCAUAUUCACUGCCCAUACUCAAAUGGAGUAUUUCUUCAGCAUUUUUCUAUGAAAUUCUAUUAACAUUACGGAGCAACGGAUUUAGGCAUGAUCUAAACAAAACAUCUAACUAAGGAAUCACAACAUUGAUAUAAAUCCAUAGCAUGAAAUAAAAAUAUAUAACUCAUAAACUAGGAUAGGAUUGCUAGGCUGCAGGCAAUGCAACUUCUUACUUUCAAGCUUAGCAUCACUUCUCAAAUGCUCUCUCAACUAUACUAUUCCCCUUAAAUACCAUACUAUUUGAUUCAACUUAUAAUUCUCACAUGGGCACUGAUAAAUCUUUCUGCAAGGUCUAAAGUAAACUAAGUCCUCUCGCCAAGGUCAAGACUAACUCAAAAAUCAUAAGAUACAACAUGCCACUCCACAAUACUAGUGUAAACCACACAAUUUAAUAUUCUAUAUCUUCUUAGAUCUCACACUCUAAGCAUAACAUGCCUUACCAUUUCAAUGACUAAUUCAAAACUCUUGAUAUGGAUUCACUAGCGGAUAUUGCAUUUAUCAUCUUACACCCAACAUGACAUUCAAGCCUAUCAUUAAAAAUCACAUAUAACUUUAAGGCAAAUACACAUAAAGGCAUACUUCACAUAUUUUCUAAACAUUUAUCAACAACAAUUUUCUUGCACUAUUCUUAAAAACAUACACAUAAUUUUCUAACUAACCAUGACAUGUAUCAAAGACUUGGCCUCAAUCUUACUUCACACUUUAGCCUUAGAUAGAAAAGCAUAAAUAAUCUUUCUUAAUGAGGGUCAUCAAGUCUCUCACAUCUAAACCAUUUCUUAUCCACUAUCUUCGCCACAAUCUUAACAUAGAAAGAGGUCACCGAAGGGCUAACACAUAUGAACUUGAAGCACGAAAACUAUAAUACAUAACAUUAACACUUAUCUUAGGCCUGAGGAAUAAAAUAACAAAGGCAUAGAUUCAUUAAAGAAAUCUAAGCUGAGGACAUGCAUGAUAUAAUGCUGACUUCACUAGUAUCAUGAGUUUAAAAACUGGUCAUACUCUGAAACAUGAGUUCAUACUUAUCAUGAGUUAUUCAACAUAAGACUGGAGUUCAUAGAUUCAUGAGAGAUAACUCGAAUCACAGAGUGAAGCUGUUACAUACCUCCUAGAAGCUGAGAAUGGGCUUGAGCAUACAUGAUGGGUAUAACCAUAGGCCUGUGGCAUGGAUUUAUCACGCAAGUGAUGGAUUUGGUGUUGUAAUGAGUAAAAUCCAAGGAAUACUCUAGAGUAAGAAGGGAUCACUAUCCCAUCAUAAAUCAUUGUUGACAUGAAUCACAAUCUAAUUCUCAAAACUUGGUUUGGUUCUUCACUAACCAUCUCCCCCUUAGGUCAAAGCUGGUAUUCUAAGCAUGAUGGUCUACUACAUAUCGUCGAGAUUAAGACAUAAUUUAAUUGUUCUAAUAUCUACACAUAAAUGCUAAACUCAUAAGAAUAAACUAAUUUCAAACUUACCAACUUCAUUCUUGAACAACCCAUCCAUAUAUCAUCCUUAAUUUCUAUCUUCAAUAAUCAUCAUCAAAGACUUACACUCUCAUUCACAACUAUACCUACAUCUCUAAUCACAUAAUCAUAGCCUACCAAGAUCACACUUCUAUACUUAUACUUUUCCCAAACCAUGAGAAUAAUAAUCAUACAUAAAAGGCUCAAAAUCUUCAAUCAUAACUCCUUACCUUAGCUAUCAAGAACAUUAUAAAUUAUCUAACUAGCCUUUCUCCACCUUCAACUCAACGUUACUACUAACCACAUAAUAUACAAUAAUCCUCAAAAAAUAAUGCAUCCCCAUAGCACCUUGGGCAUACCUCUACAUCAUACUUAAUUGUGAACACAUGAUCUUACACUCUUGCAUACACUGUUCAGGCCUACUAGAUCACCUCUAUAUAACUAGAAUCAACAACCGAACCAUCAAUUGUUCAAACUUAAUGUAUAGUGCUAAACAUGGUUUACAACCAAAUCUCACACACAAUUCUCACUUCAAAAUUAUAGAACACAGCAUUAAGAAAAACUAGUACACAAUGACAAUCGAUCGUAAUCAUAUGACCUAUCUUAUUCAUAAUCCGUUAACACAUCCUCCUUCUUCACAUCAUUACUAUUUACCCAUCUUCACACCUAAAUUACUUUCAUAGCUCUAUAAAUUUCAACUAACUUCCUCUUGCAAUCUCAGGAAAGCCUAAAUUAACAAUACUCAACCACCAAGUACUUUUACUAAUAAACUGUACUUUUCUAGCACUACAAACACCAUCAACAACCCUUUUCAUACUUCAAGCGAACAACAAUCCAUCUUAACUAAUAAUCCCUUUCCCUAACUUCACUAAACUAACAAACAAAGGUAUAUCACUUCAUUAAUAAUUCAAGCAUAAGCAACAAAAUUAAGCUAUACAUAUUCAAUAAAUCGCUCUUACCACAUUUCUUGUCACUACACUUCUAAACCCACACUUUCAACUAACACAAGAACAACAAGAUAGACAACAGUUGCUAGUGAAUAGAAAUAGGCCUCAAACAGCUUCACUAGACUUUGAUUUUGUGUUUUGAACAAGAAAAUUAGAUGAAUAACAAAGCAACUAUGCUAGUGAGUCAAAAUAGGCCCCACACAAUUUCACUAGACUUUGAUUUUCAAAAACACCAUGAUAAUAAGAUUACAUAAUACAAGGGAUAGAAACUUGACACAAUAUUCAAUGAUCUAAGAAUAAACAUCUUACUCAGUCUUAACUAAACAAUUCAUAAGAACGAGGGCAUAACUUUAAAUUUGACGAACUUAUAACACUAGAAGGCUCCUCUCAAGCCGCUUUGUGUAAUUCUGAAACUUCUGCAAGCAACCAUAAGAGCAUUAUCUGGGGUGGAACUGUAACUUAUUGAUCGUGCUAUCUCAAGAAUAAUACAUAGAUAGGGAAGUAUAGAUUUACAUUAUGGAUUCUGGGAAAAAAUCUGAAAGCACAUCUGACUUGGGUUUACUGCACGACUUCUCAUGAAUAUGAAUAAAGUAUUUCAAACUUUGGAACUUAAAAGCACUGAUGGGAUACUUUCUAGCCCACUUAUAACCUCAUAACUAUCUAUGGAGAAUUAGGCUUGACUAUUUUUGGUACCUUAAAAAUAAGGCAGAGAUGGCCAGAAUAGAGUAAGAUGAGAAUUUAUAUAAGUUUCUUAGAGAACCUUUUUAUGGCACGGUCUGAGACUUGAAAGAAAGUGAACACUUCCUAAAUGCCCUGUAGCCUCUCGAAGAAAAGUACAGACAUCUCCAUACCGUUCUGCAAGACUCUACUAGACAUGGCUUCACAGAAACCCUAGGACACUUAAACUUUGCGCUCUGAUACUAAGUUUGUAACAACACAAAAUUGGGUCCCGAGACGUCACACGGUGCUUAGGGUCACAAGUGACCCCAAGUUAACCCUUCUACUGGCAUAACUCAUAAGCAAUUGAAUAAAAAGUAUAAAUCCAUACAAAUUUGCUGAAAAAUAACUCUUUUCUGAAUCUGAUCGAUACAAAACUGAAUUUUACAAAAUUACAAUUCUUCCUUUACAACCAAAAUUGAAACUAAAUACAUCAACUUCUACUGACUGUCUAUGAAAUCUCUACUAGUACUGAAUGUAGGUAGCCGGGUCAUGACUCCCGACUAUCUCAACUCAAUACGACUGAAUAAAGAAAAUACGACACUAUUAGUUCUGCAUAACUGACCCAAUCCUUUGAAUCAAAAGGACUCAUUACUUGUUGACUGGAUACCAUGAACUGACUGGAUCUGAAGCUGCAUCCUAUACCUUGUAACAAUAUUUCGAGAAAAUGUAGCCCACAUGAGAAUAUGUGGGUCAGUACCAUGGAAACGUACCGAGCAUAUGGGGGUGCAAUGCAUAUAUAAAAUAAUAUCUUAAUAUCCUCUCAAUUUAUAAAAUUAUAUAUGCUAAUAUAAAUGGCUCACUUACCUUAAAUUAAAUCAUCAAAAUCAUGGAUGAAUAAUAUAUGUAAAGUAAAACAAGUGAGUCAUUACAAUAAGUUCUCAGUUCACUUCUUCCUUGGUUUCAAACAUAUAGAUUAAUCAAGUUUCAAAAUAAUUCUCUUUUGAACAUAAUAUCUCAAUUUUUUGAAAAUAAUAACUUUCUUAGAACCAACCUUCAAAACAUAUAAAUUCAUCUUAGAUAAGAGGGUACACACACGCACACAUUGGGAGUCUCUCAUAAUCGAUAUAAACCAUGUGAACUGCAUAGAGUCCAACGUUCUACCUACGUUGAGGAGAGUCGCCCUAUUCCUUUCCAUCGGAGUAGGACCUUAAAUUAUCAAUCCAAACACUAGUGAUCACUAUGAAAAUCAGCCUUAAUUCUGAAUCUUAUGGGGGAACAUAAUUCUAGGGAAGUACCAAACCCGCUAUACCUUCCGCUCGGUGCUAAAGACUACUCCCAGACUUAUCUCAGAUCUUUUCAAAAGAAAAUCAACCAUAAAACAGUUCAACAAUUCACAACGGGAGCCAUCAUGCUACCCCUUUCGUAAUGAAUCAAUAAAAGUGGAUUUCUUUUCUCAUCUCGGGUUCAAAAUCAACUCCUUUUUACGACUAAAAGGUUAAAGCUUCUUUAUCUUUUCAAAUCAUUCCAAUUCAAGGUGUUUAUAACACAUGUUUUCUCAAAAACAACAAUCUCAAAUAGAGUUCAAAACCCAUGUCUCAAUAUUACAUUAAAACUUAUCAAGAUUCAAGCUUUACAUCAUAAACAUAUAUAAAUUUCUUCAAAAUCUAAAAAUUUCAGUUUUAAGCACAAAAUAUCAUUGUUCUCAUAUAAUUCCACUUCUAAAAUAUCGAAAAUAUCAUAAUCUCAUGAGAUUAAAUAUAGGAUGUAAAUUCAUGCUUCAAAUUCAUAAUAAAACAUAUCAAAAUCCAUAACUUUGUAAAAGAAAAAUAUUUUUGGGCACAAGAACGAAAGGGUGUCCUUGUUGAAAACCCCAUAUACCUUUAAAUUGAAGCUUUGGGUGAAUUCUUAACCUUAGGACUCUAUUCGUGAAAAUAAUAGGUGCUUCUUGUAGCCCCAGAAUGGGGAUUCCGAACCUCAAAGAAUUAUUGAAAACUCAUGGUUGAGUUUUAAGAUAUUUAAAUUUUUAGGUCAAAACCCUAAUGAAUUUUCUUUGUGAUUUUGAGAGAAAGUAAAUUUAUUUUGGUGUUAUGGGAGUUUAAUCCCGUGUUAUAGACAUAUAUAGGGAUGUUUUUGGCACUUAAAAGUGAGGUAUGCGGCGCAAAACCCGUGGCAGACCUUAAGGUGUGCGUCGCACACCUUAUGGCAGACAUAUAAGUGUGACUCACACUCCCAAUCGCACACAUUUGAUUGGGUGACGCAAUGCCCAUCGCACAUCCUUAUUGCCUCUUACAAAAAUUGGCAUAACUUUUCGCUCAGGUAUUGGAUUUUUGCAAAAUUGGUAUCGUUGGAAAGAUAAUUCAAUUAUCUACAAUUUGAUAUUUCUUGAGAUGAAAAGUUCCAUUUAUAUGAAGAGAUAUACAUAUUUGAAGUAGUCCCUUGAGGAAUUGAAUGUCAAACUUUAGAUGAAUCAAUUGGUCUUAGCUCAAGUUUGUUCUAGGUCAUUGCCAUGAACAUUUUUCACCUCUAAACUACUCCAUAGGCUAGGAUAAUGAUCAUGCGAAUUGUAUUCAUAUUCGAAUCAUUUGGAUUAGAGCUUAGAUGCAUAGAAAUGAUGUUUCAAAUUUUAGCACAAAAAUACAAGUUAUUACAAUCGUGGUACCCCUACUGUAUGUAAAUUUAACCCUUGACGCGAUGCCCCAUGAUUGUGGAGUCAUACUGGAUAAUGACACUUGGGAAAUUGGCUGGUGGCAUAAUGCAGUGGGAUCAUGAUGGCUCAUUAGAUUUUGACAAUCACCAUUUGCACCCUCUUUGCGAUGCGGUGAAGUACCAAGUGGUACACUGUUUUACUAAAAAUGCUAUAACUUUUCGCUCAGGUAUCAAAUUUGGGCAAAUUUUAUAUCAUUGAAAAGCUAACUAAAUUUUCUACAUAAUGUCAGGUCUUAAACUGAAUAAUUCUAAGUAUUUUAAAAAUUUAUAUAGGAAUGCUCAUAUACUGAGGGUUGAACUAAGCUAGAGAAAUAUGGAGUAUUACACUAAUAGGUCUCAAGUCUGAAAAAUCGUUCACAUUAUCCUUAUAAGAAAGUAACACUAAAUUGGUAUGAGUAAUAAACUUUGACAAUUCUUAUCCAUAGAAAAUGACUCUUAACAAUUUAGUCAUAUCUUCACCUAUGAUGUCCCAACUUUUCUAAAAAUAAAAACUUGAGAAACCAUCUGGGUCACAUGCACUUUCUCCAUUAAUUUCGAAGGCCAUUACUUUAAACUCUUCUUAAUUUGGAAACCUUGUCAUUUCCUCAUUCUACUUCUCUAUUAUUAUUUUUGGAAGGCACUACAACAUACUCUAGUCUUGACUUAUGCCUUCCUCUUUAAAUUAUUCAUUGAAGAAUGUAACAGCUUCCUCCCUAAUUUCGUGGUUGGUUUGAAAAAUUGCACCUUGAUUAUUGAUAAUUUAGGCUAUGUGAAGAUUCUUCCUUCUACCCUUAACAAAUAUGUGAAAGAACUUUGAGUUUUUGUCAUCUUCCUCAAACCACUUCAUUCUUUCUUUUUGUUUCCAAAAUUCCUCCUCCAACCUCAACAGUUUUUCAACUCAGCUUCUACUUUACAUAACUUAGCUCUAUUAUUAGUUAAUCGCAUUACCUCUAAUUGAGCUUCCUUCACUCUUAUCAUAUCAUCUAAACUAUCAAUGUUCUAAAAAAUUUUACCUUAAAUUGCCUUACUCCAUACUGAUAAAGUUUUUUUUAAUAUUUUUCAAUUUGAUUUGGAAUUCUAUAAAAGGAUUCCCCAAAAAAUCCACCUUCCAGUGUUACUGCACAACAUCCUUAAAUUGUGAGUGUUUAGCCCAAAAAUUAAGGAAUCUAAAUUGCUUGGUUGUAGGUUCUUCUGUAGAAUCACAAACCAAAUGGCAUGGUGCAUGAUCUAAGCCCAGUCUUAUUAGAUGAUGAACCAUUAUAGAAGGAAAUAGAUCCAAGCAUGCUUGGUUUACUAAAAUUUUAUCCAAUCUUUUAAAUAUACAUUCCUCCUUAAUUCUCCCAUUCCACCAAGUAUAUGUACUUUCAAUAAAACCCACAUUGAACAACACAUAAUUGUUUAUACAUAAAUAGAAAUGAGUAGCUUACUGCUGAGUGAAAGGAAGUCCACCUAGCUUUACUUCUUCUGAAAGUAUUAAAUUAAAAUCUCCUCCUACUAUUCAUGGAUUUUGGUUAGACUCUGCAAUAUGCUUCAGUUCUUUUCAUAGUUCUAACCUCUAUAAUGCAUUGCAUCUUGCAUAUAUAGAAGUAAUACAAAAAUCUUUACCAUCUUUGAACUGCCUGGAUAUCUGCUACAUAAAAUCCAAAAUGACAUGGGCUUCCUAAUCAUUUUCUCAGAAAAUUCAAAUUUUGACUGAAUAGUUGGUCAAAGAAUUUGUAAAAGCUAGCUUUCUUUUUUAUUAUUCCAGCUCCUAUGGAUUCUGAAAAUUCUCUAACAAAGCUAUAAAUGAAUAAUGGUGUUUUCUAUUUAAAUAAAUUAACCUCUUAAAUAAAUUUUGAGUGUUAACUGAUCUUAAUUCUAGAAAAUCAUUUUCUUUAACAUUGAUCACUAUUUGAUGAUUUAUCUUUGCUCCUUAUUCUAACUUGAAGUGGCAAUAGUGAUAUGCCUUUCCUUGCUCCUUUUUUCAAGCUAUUAAUAUAUCUAGGAGAUAAGUAUCCUGUCUUGCUUAUCUACUGAAUAUUUUUGUCUAAUUCUUCAUUUUUAUCUUCAUCCCUUCUCACCCCUAUCUGUUCAUCAGUCUCUUCAACUAAAUCAGGAACUUCUUUAGUAUUUUUCUGCUUUACAGUGUUGUUUUUACUUUCUUGACCAUGUUGAUUAUGUUGCUGCUAUAUAUUUGGUGGCGAUUGUUCUACACUUUUAUCAUUUUCCUUCAACAUUUUCAUAGUAGUCUCUCCCACCCUGCUUAUACAAGGACUGCCACUUCUCUGCUCUUUGUUUUCAUGGCUACAUUAUAGAUUUAGCUGUGAUGAAUGUGCCUUUUCCUUUCCUUUAUUACCACCAUUAAGCAUUGAAUCCUCCAACCUAAUGGGUGUUGAACUUUGGUUUGUAUUCUCCUGUCCUUUUAUCUUUUUAAAAUCAUCCUUUUUAUUUUCCAUUGUGUUCUUUCCUUCUACUGUUGAUUUCUCCUUUACUUCUACCUUAUUUUUCUCCAUGUCUUCUAGAGCUUCAAACUGAUUAUCUGUAGCUGGAUCAACCCUAUUCCAUAUUAUUUGUUCUCUUUCUCUUAUUCUCCCACUACCUUUUUUUAUUUCUUUGCACUUUAAACUCUUCUUCAUUAUUGCACUUCCUUUGAUCCUUAUUUUUCUGUUAUUCUUUAUUGUUGUUCUUUUCAUUCUCUAUAUCUUUCUGCCCUUGUUGAGUUUACCCUUAUUCUCUUUAUCUUUUUUGUGAUAUAAUUCUUGAUACAACACAUAGCAUUAUUGUUCAUUAUUCCCUUGGAUCAUACAAUUCUUACAGUAUUUUGAGACAUAAUCAUACUCUAUUCUAAUUCAUUUUUCUACAGCUUCUCCAUUUUUACUUCUUCAUGGCAAUGCUAAUGCUCUUUGGGAACUCACCUAGUAUAUCAAAUUCUACUUUAAGUCUUGCACAAAUUGGCCUUAUUUGAUUUUUGGUAGCUAUGUCUACUUGUAAUGGUCACCCACUGCUGUUGCCAAUGAGAAAACUAUCUCUCUACAAAAAAUAUUUGGUGGAAGAGAAGGGAAUGAGAUCCAUGCAAUGACUAUUGUAGUUUUUUCUUCAAGAUCCAACAUGGGAACCCAUUUUAAUGCUCUCAUUGGGUAAGAUCAAUUUUGAUGAUUAAUGUAAAAUGUUGAUUUUGAUAAAAAAAAAUACAUAUAAUCUUCUAGCUGAGUAGCCCUAAUGAGCACAUCUAUGUUGUUUAACAAACCAAUGUUAUAUUUUUCUUUUAAUUCACAUAGUUUAGGAAUAAGAUUUUCUCAGAUAUUAAGUAUUUGGUCAGCCGUAAGAUAAUUUACCUAUCACAGCAUAUUGAGGAUUUUCAUUGUCAAUCAUUUGAUCUACCUUUUUUUGUUCCCAUACAAUUCUAGGUUCACCAUGCCGAUAUGAAAUAGUUUAAGUGGUAUCAAUUUUAUGAUGAACGGAGUAGGUUUCAGAACGUAGCAUAAGUAGUAUUUGGUAUGGAUUCGAUGUUGAUAGACCAAUCUAUGUGGGAGGUUGGUCAGAAGUCGGAGUGGCCAAAGCCAGCAUGGCCAUUUGCCACCAAUUCAAAUAGUGUAUUAAGGUUUAUGGGAUGUAGAAUUUUUGGUAGAGAGCAUUUUUUUUUUGCCAAGAAUCACUUUUUCCAAAAAAUACCGAACCAAAAUUAUUUUCAUUUAAAUUCUAAAAAUAAAAAAUAAUUACCAAUCUAAUCUACCAUUUUUUGUUGUUUCUUCCACAUGCUCGUAGUACACCCUUUUUCUUUUAGUUUAUAUUCCUUAACUUAUAUCUCUAAAGUAUUUAAAUAUCAUCAACUUCUCAUGUUUUUUUUACUAUUUUGGACAUUUUUUCAACCUCUGCUUCUGAAUUUUUUGUGCCAAUAUGACCAUUUAAUGGCUUUUCUAUGAUAUUUGUAAUUCUCUUAAGAAAUCUAGAAGAUCUCAUUCACCUCUCUGCUAACAGCUUUUCUAUGAUUUAUAUGAGAUCAGUUCUAAAAAUAAUUAAUUCAAUGAUAUAAUUAAUGCACAAUUGUCUAUGUUACAAUUCUAAAGAAGAGACUGGCCAUGACUAAAGUUUUGUACCAUAGCGUGAUAUGAAAUAAUACAAAUCUUCUAAGAACUCACCUAUGAACUUUAAUUUCUAUGCCAUUUUUGAAUUGUAACUUGAUAAUGAAAAUUACACACCUCUUUUAAAAACUCACCUACUAACUUUAAUUUUCAUAACUUCAUCUGUUUUUCUCCAGCUUUUGCAUGGUAAAAUGUUGAUAUAUUCUUUCUUUUCCUUGGUAGAAGUAAAUAAAUUUUAGUAUGCAAAAAAGGAUUUUGGAAUAUAUAUAUAUAUAUAUAUAUANNNNNNNNNNNNNNNNNNNNNNNNNNNNNNNNNNNNNNNNNNNNNNNNNNNNNNNNNNNNNNNNNNNNNNNNNNNNNNNNNNNNNNNNNNNNNNNNNNNNNNNNNNNNNNNNNNNNNNNNNNNNNNNNNNNNNNNNNNNNNNNNNNNNNNNNNNNNNNNNNNNNNNNNNNNNNNNNNNNNNNNNNNNNNNNNNNNNNNNNNNNNNNNNNNNNNNNNNNNNNNNNNAUAUAUUGAACUGAUGAACCCUAAUAAAACAAAUGCAAUCCAAAUAGAAAAAAGAAGUUUCUCACGUGUGAAUUCAUCAACAAAGCAUUGACCAUGAUGGCAAAAGCAUUAUGCAUGUAUACAAUAGCUUGGAAAAAAAAUGAUUUCCUGUUAUCUACAACUACAUCUACGUCUUUAAUACCCCAUAUUUUCUUAGCAUAAUUUAGGUCUCAAUACAUGAGUAUUCAUAUAUAUAUAUAUAAUUUUUAAAAUAAUUGUUAUUUCUUAGUUUAGAGCCCACCAAGUUGUGAGAAAUUAAACUAGCUUUCCAAAGAUAUAAAAUUUACCUUCAUCCGAUAACAGAGUAAGAAGUUAUGGCGAUUUUAAGUUUCCGUCGUAAAACACCGUGAUUUAGGAUCGUAGCGCAUCACGGAGAAGUGUAAAAUCACAACUGUUAAAUUUCAGUGAGACUCCAUAAUUCCACCGUGUCAUGGUGAUAUCCCAUCUCAUAAUUAUCCCUUUCCAGUGAGAUUCUGCGAUUUAACCGCGUCACAGUGAUGUCCCAUCUCACAAUUGUCCCUUUCCAGUGAAGCUCCGCAAUCAUGGCGCAUCGGGGAGGUGGCCAAAAUGGCAUUCCAAAGGCAUACCGCAACUUCACCGCAUCGCACCAAACUUUUAGGUCCUAAUUGUCAAUUUCUAGUGGCCCAAUGCAAUAGCGCCGCGUCGCACCGGAGCCAAAGUUCAAGAUUUUCAUCUUUCAGUUCCAAGUUUUUAAAUUUGUUUAAGGGUAUUUGGGUCUUUUUUUCAUGGUCCUAAUCAGCCUAAAAUACGAGAUUUAACCUAUUAGUGACCUAAAUAAUCAUCAUUAUUCAAUUUCUCUUAAAUUGAAGAUCCUAUUCUCAAGAACAAAAACCCUAGCUCUCAAAUUCAAGGUUAAAUCUCAAGAACUCUUCAUCAAUCCUCUCAAAUUCAUUAACUCAGGUAUGUUAAAUGUUCAUUCAUGGGUUCCUUUCACCAUUGGAGUCCAAGUAUCCGAUUUAGAUUGUAAAAUUAUGAUCUUUUUAGGUUAUCUUGAUUUUAAUUUAUGAUUAAACCAUGAAUUUCCAUGAAUCUUGUUCUAUACCAUGUUUUAGCGAAAUUGAUGUCUAUUACUACACUCCAUAUGAUUGAAUAUUAUUGUCCACUAAUUUAAUUCAUGAUUUGUGAUAAUGGUGUUGAAUUUGUGCUUUACUACAAGUUUUAAACUAAUUCUCAUGGUCUAUGUACACCAUGCAUAUCAAGUGUUUGAUAAAAUGCUUACAAGAAUAAAUUUUUAAUAAAAGCCUUUAUAUUAUGUCCUCCAAGAAUUAGUGUCAUUUUACUAUUAUUGCUUUCGAGUCCUGAGGGUAUUAAAUACCCAAAAGUCAUAGCUAUUUACUUAGUCUCAUCUCAGUAUCUUCAGAAUAACUUCAGAAUACAUCAUGAGCAUUACUAGAUUAGUCAGUUAAACUCAGAAAUAGUCAGUAACUCAGUGUCAUUCAGUUGGCAGUAGGAUUUAGCACCGAGUGAGUAUAGGGAUGAUGGAUUCCCCUCCAGAUAGGCAAAUUUGCUAGUAGCAAUCCCUAAAAUUCAAAACUACAUGGCCAACAUAGGAUAUGAGACGUAACCUGUUAGUAUAGGCUUAACUAUCUCGCAGGGGUCACCCAUCAGAUUAGGCUUAACACCCAUUGUCCUUCAGGAUAAUACAGUAUACCAGACUAGUAGAUCCACAUAGCCAUCAUUAGUAACCAUGGCAUGGUAUUAAUACCCUUCUAACUGGGGUUACAAUUUGGAGCUUGAUUAGCUCAGAUUGGGGCAUGUCGGUUAGAUGAUAGCUCCCCGAUUCUCAGUCCAAUAAUCAGACCAGUAGUUCAGUCUCAGUGUUGUUUGACCAAGGCAUAUAGAUAUCAAUUAUUUUAGUUUACAAAUUUUUAUUCAAUUUAUGUUAUAUGCUUGUUCAUGCAUUUCCAGUAUCUACAAAUUUCACGUGCCUUCAGUAUUUAAAGACUUUCAUGCAUACACAGUAUUUGUAGAUUUCAUAUAUUUUCAGUAUCUACAGAUUUCAUGCUCUCUAUUCAGUACUCUAUGUUUUAUAUGUAUAUUUAGAAAGUUUUUUUCCUGUUCAUGAAACCAUGCAUGUCAGCCUACCUCAUUUAGCAUACCAGUGCAUUCAAAGUACUAAUCACAUACCUUUUUUUUGCGCGUAUUGUAUAAUAGGUUUUGAUGCUCAGAUCUCGAAUCGCCCUUAGACUUCUUAGACUCUCAGCAGUAGCAGUGGUGAGUCCUUACAUUUCGAGGAUAAAUUAUUUUACUUCAUGUCUCUAGUUCAGUAGUUAGUGGAUUUAGUUUGGGUAUGUCCCAUCAACUCACAGUCAUUCAGUUUAGAGGCUUUCAAACAUUACAGUUAGUUAUUUAGUACUCAAAACCUAGUUGAAUUGUCAGUUAGUUAUUCUGAUUUUCUUUAUCUUACCAGAUUCAGAUAUUUGUUUUCCAAAUUUAUGGAACAGUAUUGAUUUUAGUUAUUAAAACCUUACGGCAUAUCAAUUUUCUUUUGCAUUUAGGAUUGUUUUAUUUAGUGCUUUCAGCGGGUACCAGCUCAUGGGUUUUCUUGUGGUUCUUUGGGAUUGUAAGAACCGUGUCAAGUAGAGUUUUGUGCAUGGGUGUGCAGUGUGCCAUACUUAUGGAUAGGAGGCUACAAGGCAUUUAAGAAGGUAACGAAUAUUAUGAGGCUAACAUCUAGUGGGAGUGCUGAGUUGGCUGCAUAUCAGUUACAGGAUGUGGCCCAUACGUGGUUUAAAUAGUAAAAGGUAGAUAGGGGUGUUGAUACAGGGCCUGUAGAAUGGGAAGAGUUUGCUACAGCUUUCUUAGAUAGAUUCUUUCUAUUAGAGUUGAGGGAGGCCAAGGUCUUAGAAUUUAUUAAGUUAAGGCAAGUUAACAUGAGUGUGAAGGGUAUUCCCUCAAAUUUACUCAGCUAGCUAGGUAUUCCUCUCAUGUGGUGGCCACAAUAGAUCUAGAAUGAGCUAGUUUGUAUCUGGGGUAUUUGAUAGUGUGGUCAAGGAGUGUAGUACUGCGAUGUUUAUUAAGGAGACGGACAUAUCUAGGCUUAUAUUCCAUGCUUAAUAGAUUAAGAAGCAAAAGGCUAAUAAGAGAGAAGGAGAAAAAAAGGGCUAAAAUAGGUAGCUUUAAUUUCACUCAGUCGAGAUCAGAAGGUAGUAAUUACCUUGAAUUUCAUCAGAGGUCUGCAGCCCCAGCGCCCUUUUCAGCCAGUGCCCCAAUACCCAAAUUCAAAAAUGAUAAUCGGGAUAGAAAAACUGGCUCUAAGUACUAAGGCAAUCUUAACACUGCUUGUAUGAAUUCUUUAUGUCAGAAAUAUGGUAGGCACCAUUAAGGUGAGUGUAGAGAGGGAAGUAAUGUGUUCUUUAGAUAUGGCAAGCAAUGCUAUCGGAUCUGGGAGUGUUGGGUAGUUGCUCAGAGAGGUAGGGAGUUACGCCAAUAGGGCUAGUCCAAUCAGUUGUCAGUUCUAUCUGAUCGCCUGACUCAGUAGGGUGCCACUUCCAGUGCUACCAGUGGUUAGAGUCCAAAUAUAUUAUAUGCUUUUAAGUCCCGCCAAGAUUAGAAAAAUUCUCCUUACAUUGUUACUAGUACGUUGCAAGUCUUUCACUUACAUGUUUAUGCCUUACAAUACCCUGGAGCUUCUUUUUUAUUAUAACUUCAUAUAAAGCCGUCAAUUUUAGAGUCAGUCCUGAAACUCUAGCAGAGCCCUUUUCAGUGUCUACCCCAGUUGGUGUUUCCAUUAUAGCCAGGCAGGUACACAGGAAUUGUUCGGUCAUAAUAUCUCAGAAAGUUACUUUAGUUGAUCUCGUGGAGUUAGAGAUGAUGGAUUUUGACAUCAUUCUCGGCAUGGAUUGUCUCUACUCAUGUUAUGCCUUAGUUAAUUAUAGAAACAGAAUAAUUCAUUUUCAGUUCCCAAAUGAACCAAUCCUUGAAUGGAGGGGUAGUACUAUAGCUCUCAAGGGUCAACUUGUUUCAUACCUUGGAACGAGAAAAAUGAUAUCCAAAGGGUGUAUUUACCAUCUUGUUCGAGUCAAAUACUCAAAUUUAGAGACUUCAGCCCUUGAUUCAAUUUCAAUAGUUAGGGAACUUCCAGGUAUGUUCCCUAAUGAUCAUCUGGGAGUUUCUCUCAAAAAGGAAAUCGACUUGGGAAUAGACCUUUUUCCAGACACUCAGCCCACAUCUAUUUCUCCAUAUAGAAUACCUCCAUCUGAACUCAAAGAACUAAAAGAACAGUUGAAGGAUCUCCUAGAUAAGGGAUUCAUUAGACCCAGCGUCUCUCGGAGGGCACACCAGUUCUAUUUAUUCGUAAGAAAGAUGGGUAUCUCAGAAUGUGUAUUGAUUACCGUUAGUUUAACAAAGUCACCAUUGAGAAUAAAUAUCCACUUCCUUGAAUCGAUGAUUUGUUUGACCAACUUUAUGGAUCCAGUUAUUUUUUUAAGAUAGACCUCGGAUCAGGCUAUCAUCAUCUCAGAGUCAGAGAAUGUGACAUUCCUAAAAUAACUUUUUGAACUUGUUAUGGUCACUUUGAAUUUCUAGUCAUGUCCUUUGGUCUUACAAAUACCCCAGCAAAUUUCAUGGACUUGAUGAACCAAGUGUUCAAGCAUUACUUGGAUAUGUUUGUUAUAGUCUUCAUCGAUAACAUUUUUGUCUAUUCUCGUAGUGAGAAUAAUCAUGAAGAACACCUCAAAAUCAUACUUCAUACUCUCAGAACCCAUCAGUUGUUUGCCAAAUUCUGUAAGUGUAAAUUUUGGCUAAGAUCAGUAGCUUUUCUUGGCCAUAUUAUUUUCAAUGAUGGCAUUAGAGUUGAUUCUCAAAAGACCAAAGCGGUGAGAAACUGGACUAGACCCAUUUCUCCUUUAGACAUCACGAGUUUCUUGGGUUUGGCUGGCUAUUACCGUCAGUUUGUUAAAGGGUUUUCAUCUAUUGUAUCCCCCGUUUCCAGAUUGACUUAGGAGAAAGUUAAGUUUCAGUGGUCAGAUUUCUACGAAAAGAGUUUUUAGGAUUUAAAAACUGGACUCACCUCAUCCCCAGUUCUUACUUUUCCAGAUAGUUCAGAUGGGUUUGUUGUGUACUGUGAGGCAUCCAGAGUAGAGUUGGGUUAUGUCCUUAUUUAGAGAGGUAAGGUCAUAGCGUACGCCUCUAGACAUCUUAAGCCCCACGAGAAGAAUUAUCCAUCUCAUGAUCUCGAGCUAGCACCUGUAGUAUUUGCCUUAAAUAUUUGGAGGCAUUACUUGUAUGGGGUGUAUGUUGAUGUUUUCACAGAUCAUAAGAGUUUGCAUUAUGUGUUCUCUCAGAAAGAUUUGAAUUUAUAUCAGAGAAGGUGGUUAGAGUUAUUGAAAGAUUAUGACAUAAGUGUUCUGUAUCAUCCAGGCAAGUCCAAUAUAGUGGCAGAUGCUCUCAGUAGGUUAUCUAUAGGUAGUGGUGCUCAUGUUGAGCAUGGUAAUAAGAAGUUAGUUCAAGAAGUUCAUCAGCUUGCCCAACUUGGUGUCUGCCUAGUCAAUUUAGCAGAAGGUAGUAUAUGGGUGCAGAGUAGUUUAGAAUCCUCUCUAGUUUUUGAAGUAUAGAAAAAGUAGGAUAGAGAUCCCAGUCUUGUUAAGUUAAAAGAAUUAGUCAGAGAUCAGAAGGUGGAGGUUUUAUCCUAAGGGGGAGAUAGCGUGCUGUGUUGUCAGGGUCGGCUAUUCAUACCUAGUGUAGAUGACUUGAGGUAAUGAAUUCUUUCAUAAGCGCAUGGUGCAUUUUACUCUAUUCAUCCCGGGGCCACUAAGAUGUAUCGUGAUUUAUGGGAGAUCUAUUGGUAAAGUGGGAUGAAGAGAGAUAUUACAGAGUUUGUAGCUAAGUGCUCUAAGUGUUAGUAGGUUAAGAUUAAGCACCAAAAGCCUAGUGGGUCCAUGCAGGAGUUCAACAUUCCCACGUGGAAAUGGGAAGAAGUGAACAUGGACUUUGUGAUAGGUCUGUCUCAUACUCGUCAUCAGCACAAUUUUAUUUGGGUUAUCGUAGAAAGGAUGACUAAAUCAGCUCAUUUCUUGCCAGUCCAUACCUCUUAUUCAGCCGAGGAUGAUGCCAAACUCUACCUUAGAGAGUUGGUUAGGUUGCACGAUGUUUCCUUAUCCAUCAUCUCAGAUAGAGGUACUCAGAUUACUCUCAAUUUUAGAAAGCAUUCCAAAAGGGUCUUGGUACCCAAGUCCACCUCAGUACAGCCUUCCACUCUCAGAUAAACAGUCAAGCAGAAAGGACCAUUCAGACUCUUGAAGAUACGUUGAGAGCAUGUGUAGUUAAUUUUUAAGGUAGUUGGGAUGAACACUUGCCUUUUAUUGAGUUUGCAUAUAAUAACAACUAUCAUUCCAGUAUCCAGAUGGCUCUGUUUGAGGCUCUUUAUGGUAGGAGAUAUUGAUCUCUGAUUGGUUGGUUUGAAGUACGUGAGGCCAUGGUAGUAGGACCUGACUUGGUGUUUGAUACGUUAGAGAAGGUCCAGUUGAUCUGAGAAAGUCUUAAGGCAGCCCAAAGCAGACAAAAAUUGUAUGCAGAUGUGAUGAAAAAGGAUCUAGAAUUUGAGGUCGGUGAUUUUGUAUACUUGAAAAUCUCUCCCAUGAAGGGAGUGAAGAGGUUUGGCAAGAAAGGGAAACUCAAUCCCCGAUAUGAUGAUCCCUACAAAAUUCUGAGUCUUUUUGGAAAGGUAAAUUACGAGCUUGAGUUGCCUUCAGAUCUAGCCUCAGUACACCCAGUGUUUUAUGUCUCAUUGUUGAAAAUGUGUAUUGGUGAUCCAGCUUUAGUUCUUCCCUUAGAAAGUGUGGAUAUUUAGAACGGUCAUUCCUAUGAGAAAGUUCCAGUCGAAAUUCUCGAUCAUCAAGUUCAUAGACUAAGGAACAAAGAAGUUCCACUAGUCAAAGUUCUUUGCCGGAAUCAGUCUGUUGAGGGAGCCACUUGGGAAGCUGAAGAAGAUAUGCAUACCAAGUACCCCCAUCUUUUCUCCACGAAUUUAGAUUCAAUUUAUGGUAUUAAUCUUCUUAAGAUUCCUCUCUAUCAUGCUCAGUUUCAGUUGUACAUCAUGUUCAUGUCAGUCGUGCAUUUAUGAAUCAGUUUAGUCAUGCAUUCCAUGCAUCAGAUAUACAUGUUCAGUGUGUAAGCUCAAUCCAUCAGUUUCCUCAGCUUAACCAGUCUCAUUCAAAGACGGAUGAUCCUAAGGAGGAGAUAUUGUAAUACCCCUCCCUAGAAUAAUUUAGGUCUCAAUACAUGAGUAUUCUUAUAUAAAAAAAUUUCUAAAUACUUAUUAUUUCACAGUUUAGAGCCCACCAAGUUGUGAAAAAUUGAACUAAUUUUCCAAUGAGAUAAAAUUUGCCUUAAUCUUAUAACCGAGUAAGAAUUAUGACAAUUUUAAGUUCCAGUCGUAAAACACCGUGACUUGGACCCGUAGAGCAUCGUGGAGAAGUGUAAAAAUAAAAUUUUCAAAUUCCAGUGAGACUUCACGAUUCCACCGCAUCGUGGUGUUGUCCCAUCUCACAAUUGUCCCUUUCUAGUGAAGCUCCGCGAUCAUGACACGUCGCGGAGGUGGCCAAAAUGGCACUCCAAAGGCUUACCAUGAUUUCACCACAUCGCGCAAAUCUUCUAGGUCCCAGUUGUCAAUUUUCAGUGGCCCGACACGAUAGCACCGCGUCACGCCAGAGCCAAAAUUUGAGAUUUUCAGUUUUCAGUUCCGAGUUUUUAAAUUCGUUUAAGGGUAUUUGGGUCUUUUUUCAUGGACCUAAUCAACCUAACACACGAGAUUUAACCCAUUAGUGACCUAAAUAAUCAUCAUUAUUUAAUUACUCUUAAAUUAAAGAUCCUAUUCUCAAGAACAAAAACUCUAGCUCUCAAAUUCAAGGCCAAAUCUCAAGAACUCUUCAUCAAUCCUCUCAAAUUCAUUAACUCAGGUAUGUUAAAUGUUCAUUCAUGGGUUCCUUUCACCAUUGGAGUCCAAGUAUCCGAUUUAGAUUGUAAAAUUAUGAUCUUUUUAGGUUAUCUUGAUUUUAAUUUAUGAUUAAACCAUGAAUUUCCAUGAAUCUUGUUCUAUACCAUGUUUUAGCGAAAUUGAUGUCUAUUACUACACUCCAUAUGAUUGAAUAUUAUUGUCCACUAGUUUAAUUCAUGAUUUGUGAUAAUGGUGUUGAAUUUGUGCUUUACUACAAGUUUUAAACUAAUUCCCAUGCUCUAUAUACACCAUGCAUAUCAAGUGUUUGAUAAAAUGCUUACAAGAAUGAAUAUUUACUAAAAGCCUUUAUGUUAUGUCCUCCAAGUUUUAGUGUCAUUUUACUAUUAUUUCUUUUGAGCCAUGGGGGUAUUAAAUACUUGAAAAUCAUAGUUUUUUACUUAGUCUCUUCUCAGUAUCGUCAUAAUAACUUCAUAAUACAUCAUGAGCAUUACUAGAUCAGUCAGUUAAACUAAAAAAUAGUUAGUAACUUAGUAUCAUUCAGUUGGUAGUAGGAUUUAGCACUGGCUGAGUGUAGGGAUGGUGACUUAUCCAUCAGAUAGGCAGAGUCGCUAGUAGCAGUCCCUAAACUCCAAAACCACAUAGCCAGCGUAGGAUAUGAGAAGCCACCCGUUAGUAUAGUCUUGACUAUCUCGGAGUGGUCACCCAUCAGAUUAGGCUUGACACCCUUUGUCCUUUGGGACAAUACAGUAUACCAGACUAGUGGAUCCACAUAGCCAACGUUAGUACCCGUGGCAUGGUAUUAAUAGCCUUCCUACAGGGGUUACAGGUUAGACCCCGAUUAGCUCAGACUGGGGUAUGUCGGUUAGAUGAUAGGUCCCACAAUCUCAGUCCAGUAAUCAGACCAGUAGUUCAGUCUCAGUGUUGUUUGACCAAAGCAUACAGAUAUCAGUUAUUUCAGCAUUUCAAUUUAUAGAUUUUUAUUCAGUUCAUGUUAUAUGCUUGGUCAUGCAUCCCCAGUAUCUACAGAUUUUACAUACCUUUAGUAUUUAUAAACUUCCAUGCAUACAUAGUAUUUACAGAUUUCACAUAUUUUUAGUAUCUACAGAUUUCAUGCUUUCUAUUUAGUACUCCAUGUUUUAUAUGUGUAUUUAGAUAGUUGUUAUUCCUGUUCAUGAAACCAUGCAUGUUAGCCUAUCUCAUUGAGCAUACCAGUACAUUCAAAGUACUGAUCGUAUACCAUUUUUUGUGUUAUGAUGUAUUAUCUCAUAGGUUUUGACUCUCAGUUUCCGAAUCCCGCUUAGAAUUUUCAGGCUCUCGACAGUAGCAGUGAUGAGUUUUCAUAUUUUGAGGAUAGAUUAUUUUACUUUAUGUCUCUAGUUCAGUAGUUAGUGGAGUUAGUUAGGGCCUAUCCCAUCAACUCACAGACAUACAGUUUAGAGGCUUUCAGACAUUACAGUUAGGUAUUCAGUACUCAGACAUCAGUUGACAUAUUAGUUAGUUAUUCAGAUUUUCUUUAUCUUACCAGAUUCAGAUAGUUGUUUUCCAUAUUUAUGGCACAUUGUUGAUUUUAGUUAUUAAAACUUUGCGGCAUAUCAGUUUUCUUCCGCAUUUAUGAUUGUAUUAUUCAG
This 35766-nucleotide long non-coding RNA is filed under the name Capsicum annuum. Its description in RNAcentral is "long non-coding RNA (CANN_LNC015958)". The record is from RNAcentral. Lineage: Eukaryota; Viridiplantae; Streptophyta; Magnoliopsida; Solanales; Solanaceae.